This is a long non-coding RNA of Oxyura jamaicensis (ruddy duck), 176 nucleotides long. RefSeq lists it as uncharacterized. The record is from RefSeq and is a predicted model, not a curated record. Lineage: Eukaryota; Metazoa; Chordata; Aves; Anseriformes; Anatidae. The transcript is spliced from 3 exons.
UUUUGCCCAGAGAAGGACAGACUCAGGGGGAAUCUCCUCCAUGUGUACCAAUACCUGAAGGGAGGGUGCAGAGAGGACAGAGGCAGGCUCUUAUCAGUGGUGCCCAGGGACAGGACAAGAGGCACUGGGCACACACUGUUACACAGGAGGGUCUCUCUGAACAUCAGGAAGCACAC